GAAGUGACAUGUGGUUGAUGG
Molecule: microRNA, 21 nt
Filed under: Gallus gallus (chicken)
Lineage: Eukaryota; Metazoa; Chordata; Aves; Galliformes; Phasianidae
Description: gga-miR-1627-5p
Source: miRBase by way of RNAcentral